Long non-coding RNA from Dromiciops gliroides (monito del monte), 326 nucleotides. RefSeq lists it as uncharacterized. The record is from RefSeq and is a predicted model, not a curated record. NCBI's taxonomy places the organism in Eukaryota, Metazoa, Chordata, Mammalia, Microbiotheria, Microbiotheriidae. The transcript has 3 exons.
CGGGAUUGUUGAAUACGGGGCUAGAGAGAGGGGCAUAUCCUAACAUCAACAAUGGACAUUUAUGAAAAGCCAAAUUGACAAGAGUUCCUCGCUGGCACCCCACCUCCCUCAGUCACCCUCGCUGGGUCCCAGGGAGACAAUUCCUGUGGACAAGGAGCCAGCCAUCCUCACCAACUGACAACCAACAGCCUCCCACAGGGAAGUCUUAGAAGGUCCCAGAAUCAUAGAUUAAGAGCUCUAAGGGACCUCGGAGGUUGUGCAGUUCAACUCACUCAUUGUACAGAAGAGGAAACCGGGUCCAGUGGGGCAAGUCCUGGCCUAGGAAU